AUGACAUGUGGUGGAUGGUCCGUUCUGAUAAGCGCUGGGCGUGAUGGAUGGAUUCCCCUCACCAGGGCAGGACGAGCGCAGGAGCUUUGCACUGGGCAUCUUCUGGGGCUGAGCCAGCCCCGCCCCCACAUCAAGACCACCUCUCCUCACGAUCACUAUUUAUUCUUUGUUCCUUUUUCUUUUUGUAAGAAACAGUCACAAAAACCAGUGCAAAACCAUCAGUGUGGGUGUCCUGUUUUAUAUUACAAAAACUCCUUCUUGAUAGAUAAUAUAAAAGGGGAGAGGUGGGAGGAGGUUCAAACCGAAUCUUUGCAGCAGGCACAGAGCUCUGGCUGCAUCUCAGAAGGGGGAAGGUGGCAGAGCAGGGGAGCACUGGGCUCUAAGCUGCUGCUCUGCCUCCCAGUGGCUGGAAAGCUGGAGGGGAGGCUGGAAGCUGGCAGAGGGUUCCUCCCAGACUCUGAAGAAGGACAAUGUAAAGAGAAGAGCAGGUACCAUACUGAUCUCCCAGCCCACGCCUAG
This 519-nucleotide long non-coding RNA is filed under the name Sus scrofa (pig). RNAcentral's name for it is "lncRNA (ENSSSCG00030044323.1)". The record is from RNAcentral. Lineage: Eukaryota; Metazoa; Chordata; Mammalia; Artiodactyla; Suidae.